Long non-coding RNA from Rhagoletis zephyria (snowberry fruit fly), 130 nucleotides. RefSeq lists it as uncharacterized. The record is from RefSeq and is a predicted model, not a curated record. NCBI's taxonomy places the organism in Eukaryota, Metazoa, Arthropoda, Insecta, Diptera, Tephritidae.
AGAGCCACAUUUCCAGACAAACUUCGUCGUCACUUUGGUUGUGUGCAAUCUCAUACACUGCAGUGUAUUUUAAUAUUGACAGCGAACUUUUUUCCGACGAAGUUCGCUCAGCCAUUUGAUUCUUUUUAAA